Molecule: long non-coding RNA, 647 nt
Organism: Drosophila obscura
Lineage: Eukaryota; Metazoa; Arthropoda; Insecta; Diptera; Drosophilidae
Exons: 3
Source: RefSeq, a predicted model, not a curated record
GACAAGCAGUGUGACCGUGGAUUUACCGACAAAAGAUACCGUCUGACCCUAAGAAAUAUACCUUUAAUAUACCAAAAAAAAUACCAGUAUACCAUAAUUCAAGAGUCCCCUAUAUUGAAGCAAGUGAACGUGAACUUGCCUGAAACCGCGUAAAAUAAUAAAGUUUGCUAAUGUUUUUAUUUUUAUUUAUUAAUUCUUUUCGCAUUUAAUCGAGAUCUUAUAUUUGUUAAAAUUUAGAAUAUUGUGUAUUGCUUAAAAGAAGUUUAUAUUUUAUUAUCUUGUUUGUUUCUUGAAUUUAUUAAAAAUGAGUCACUAUCGAUGUUUUUGUCUACAAACAAUCGAAAGAGCAGCAGCUGGGAAUCGAUCGCCUUUGAAUUCAAUAACAAGUUAAAGAAUAAUAACCAAACUCAACGUACAAGCUGGUUCGAGUACAACACACUCAAGGUCUCUAUUGGUAUUGAUAAACACUCCCAACAAUUUGCGAUAACUGAACGCAAACCAAAGAUUCUAUAUAUGUUACAUAUAAGUGUUAUAGAAUUUUUGCCCAAACCAAGAUGGUUCAGUUCAACGUCAUCGAUAUAACCAAGACUUCUUAGAACAUAAGAUAACGUAAGAAGCAAAAUGAAUCAACACGCUAGCGGUAGUAA